UACAGAGGUCCCAAGCGUUGUUCGGAUUCACUGGGCGUAAAGGGUGCGUAGGUGGUGGGGUAAGUCGGAUGUGAAAUCUCCAAGCUCAACUUGGAAACUGCAUUGGAAACUACCUUGCUAGAGGAUUUGAGGGGGGAUUGGAAUACUUGGUGUAGCAGUGAAAUGCGUAGAUAUCAAGUGGAACACCAGUGGCGAAGGCGAAUCCCUGGAAAAUACCUGACACUGAGGCACGAAAGCUAGGGGAGCAAACGGG
Molecule: ribosomal RNA, 253 nt
Filed under: uncultured prokaryote
Description: partial 16S ribosomal RNA
Rfam family: Bacterial small subunit ribosomal RNA
Source: RNAcentral